Molecule: ribosomal RNA, 448 nt
Filed under: uncultured bacterium
Lineage: Bacteria
Description: bacterial SSU rRNA
Rfam family: Bacterial small subunit ribosomal RNA
Source: RNAcentral
UCCCAGACUCCUACGGGAGGCAGCAGUGGGGAAUAUUGCACAAUGGGGGAAACCCUGAUGCAGCAAUGCCGCGUGGGUGAAGAAGUACUCCGGUAUGUAAAGCCCUAUCAGCAGGGAAGAAAAUGACGGUACCUGACUAAGAAGCCCCGGCUAACUACGUGCCAGCAGCCGCGGUAAUACGUAGGGGGCGAGCGUUAUCCGGAUUUACUGGGUGUAAAGGGAGCGCAGGCGGCGUGGCAAGUCAGAUGUGAAAACCCGGGGCCCAACCCCGGGGCUGCAUUUGAAACUGCCAUGCUGGAGUGCCGGAGAGGUAAGUGGAAUUCCUAGUGUAGCGGUGAAAUGCGUAGAUAUUAGGAGGAACACCAGUGGCGAAGGCGGCUUACUGGACUGUAACUGACGUUGAGGCUCGAAAGCGUGGGGAGCAAACAGGAUUAGAUACCCCCGUAUU